AGAAGGAACAAAAUCAAUUAAAUAUAGGUCACAAUCCCCAAUGGAAAAAACUAAAGCAGCAAAUUACUUCUCCUAUCAAUAGUAAUUUUUUCCGAGCAUCUGCGAGAUUAAAUCUGUGAAUUUUCGGCGUGACUAGUUUGAUUCUCAUUAUUGUACUUCUCUGCUUUGCUUUUUGCAUUUUUCCUUGUCUUCUUCUCGUUUUCCGAAUUUGGACUAGAUUAUUUGUGGUGAAGGCGAUCGCAGCUUUAUGCUUGAGCGAUAAUUGGAGUAUGAAUCGAAGCCGAAAAAGCGGCAACUCAUGGCCGCUGAAACUCUCUUUAGGCUUAGAAAGAGGCUUUUGCCAAAUGGGCCUAUCGUUUUUCCCAAAGCCCCUUUUGUUCCAUCACACCUUAAAAUGGAUAGAAUUCCUCAUCCCUAAGUUUCGAUUUUCCACAGCCUUUUGCUUCGAUUGCGACGUUUUGCGAUUCUUUCCGGCUAGGAAUGGCAUACGCACUCCACAUUUUUGUUUGGUAGCUGCAACUGAUUUGAUUGUAGGAUAAUUGUGUGAAGUUGAAAAAUUGUGCAUUUUACAUUUCCAUUAACUGAUUGUUUGAUACUUCUAUUGUCUUUCAUUUUGAAUAAUGAGUCAGUAGUGUUAUUAUUAGCCAAAAUUAAGCUGUUCAUUUAAUUUUCUUUACAUAUAAUAAACUGCUUAUCUGUUGCUGUUUGUAAGUGAUUUUUGUGAGCUUCACUUGAUUUUUAUGUAGACGAAUGAUUACGGUUUACUGUUCCAACAUGACUUAAUAAUUGACGAACAUGUAUUGCUUCGGAUAAGGAUAAUGUAUGUAUCAUCUAAAGAUGAACCAAUCCACUGCAUUCCACAAAUAGGAAUUGUAAACAUCCCCACAAAGUUGGAUCAAUGAUUAUGCCAUUUUGGUCAAACUAAAACUGCUUUGGUGUUAUCCUUCUUUUCUAGGACAAUGAGUGAUUAGAUUGAGAUAUUUUUGUCAUGACCACUCAUUGUUGCUUUCAGGGCGUGCUUGACAUUAGCUGAAUCUGCAUUUUGAGUGGAAGUUGUGAACGGAACUGUUGAGACACUGGAUUCACAAAAAUCGACUGAUGGACUUGGAGUUUCACGUCCUCUGUGUAAGAUAUCGACUUCGGGGAUUAUUGAAACUGGGCAGGUUCUGGAUGUAGCCUGGUUUUUGAGAUAGUACAUGAUCAGCUCUUCAUCAGUGGGGUGAAAUCUGAAACCUGGAGGAAGAUCAGUGCUAGAAAUGCUAUGAGGAGAAGGAGAAGGAGAGGGAGAAGUGUUUGAAAUGUUUGCAAGGCAAUAGCUCCUCUAUUUAUAUCUCAACAUUUUUGUCAUCUUGUGAGUUUUACUUUAUGAAGCUAUUGACAUUUUUGCGAUGAGGACAAAAUGCUCCAUUCAUCAAUUGUGAUGAGCCAAAGUUGUAGCAUAAAACACGAGACAAAAUCAACAGGAAGUACACACAGUCUAUCCCAGAACCAAUAAAAGAUAAGUAGUGCAUUUUAAAUUGACCAUGCGGUGUGAAAAUAGAAAUUCACACCUUUUUAAGAAUGUUUUGAAGAUGGAUGCCCAACCAAGAGAGGAAGCAUGCUACUGGAUCCUUGGGCAAACAUAGAAAUAUGUUUUAUCGAUCAUAACAUUAAUACUAUAAGCAACUCUCUGUUGCUUUCUUGCUUAAAAUAUAUCGAUUUCUCGCAUAAAUAUAUCUAUCAUCAUCGAUUCCCUGAUUCA
This is a long non-coding RNA of Salvia hispanica, 1741 nucleotides long. RefSeq lists it as uncharacterized. Lineage: Eukaryota; Viridiplantae; Streptophyta; Magnoliopsida; Lamiales; Lamiaceae. The record is from RefSeq and is a predicted model, not a curated record.